GUGCUCAUUUUGGCAGCACAUAUAUUAAAACUGAAACAAUACAGAGAUUAGCAUGGCCCCUGUGCAAGGAUGACAUGCAAAUAUGGAAGCAUUCCAUAUUUUC
Budorcas taxicolor (takin) is the source of this 103-nucleotide small nuclear RNA. Lineage: Eukaryota; Metazoa; Chordata; Mammalia; Artiodactyla; Bovidae. The record is from RefSeq and is a predicted model, not a curated record.